This 1546-nucleotide long non-coding RNA is filed under the name Gallus gallus (chicken). RNAcentral's name for it is "lncRNA (ENSGALG00010026372.1)". The record is from RNAcentral. Lineage: Eukaryota; Metazoa; Chordata; Aves; Galliformes; Phasianidae.
CUCUCUGGAUAGAGGUUGCAGUUCUCUUGGGCUGUUGCUGGUCAUCAGAAAGGGCUCAUCUCCAGACUGAGAUCCCAAGUGGAGCAUUAUCAUAACUUGAAUCGCUGUUUCCCGGAGGCUGCACGUCUCGCACACUGUCCUGCUGUGGCUGGGAAUGCAUGAGGCUUGCGUCACCAUUGAGAGCAUGUGGUUAUAUAAGUGGUAUCCUAAGGAGAGGCAACAACACGUCCCUCUCGGAGAUGUCUGAAAACCUGGCUGUGACCUAGAAAAGACGCAGAGGAGGAGUUGUUUACGGUGCGUCUUUGUUGAAUUAGAAAUAUGAAUACUGGUGAAUUUGUACAAGAGAACAAAGAUCACAGGAAUACAGCAAAGGCCUUGUGUAUCCUCUGGCCAGCAGCAGCUGGGACUAACAAUUCUCUAGAAAACAAGCAAAAAAAAAUAUUCCAGCUUUUGAGUCAAAGCAAGACUUCAUGUCUGUGAGCUCUAACAAAAUCAAUAGAACAAGAGCUUUGACAGAGAAGUCAAUAUAAGUUAUAAGGCGUUCAGAGUAAAAUAUCGCAGCAGAUGAAAGUGGUUUGAGGAAGAGAGGGGAAAAAUGCAUGCACAACUUAUCAAAUCCUUCUACUGAAUUUUGGGUCCUUCUCUAAGUUAUGAAACAGGGAAAAAGCACGGGCUGUUCUUGUACGCCUGAGUUGAGAUUUCAGUUUGGACUUUCAUUGUCUCAGGCUCAAUUUCAGAGAAAGAAAUUACUAUAUAGCUAAGGAAACAUGGAUGCAUCAAACUUUUAAUAACUAUGUACUGAUGUGGUGCAGCACAGAGGCUUUGUAAUUGGGAACUUACAUUGUAUUGUGGGUGGUGGUAUUAAGAAUCUCUCGUCACAAUGCUGAUGUUGCUACCUUGGUGAGCCAGGAAGGCAUACAUCAUUCCGUGCUGGCUAAGGUUUUUCCUUCCCUGUAUGUUUUCAAUUAGAACUGAACCCUGAGGGGAAAAAAGAAUCAGGUUUAUCUGAACAAGGAGACUGUUACCCACUUUUAUCUAUGUAAAGGAAAAUUUUAAGUUACUUUAGAAGCACUCCCAGUUUCUUCAGCUGCCUUAUCCUCUUUCUGACUGGGGGCAUCACUUGCUCCCUAUGGUCUUUCUCAGCAAAACUCUAGUCACUGAUUCAGUCACCCUUGCCUUUAAUAACAAUAAUGGGUUAUUUUGCUUGCAAGCAAUCCUAAGGUAGUAAUUGAUAGAAUCUUGUCCCUUAAUCCAUCUUGCAUGUCUGUGACUCCAUCUCUGCAGCUCACUCCACCAUUUACCUUUUCCAGGUCUCAAAGGCAUCUUUCUAGUGCCCACUACUAAUCUGAUAGGAGGCCUAUGAAAAAAAGACAACUAUUCAAAACUUCUUUUUCAGCUAAAGCUUUCUACAGGUUUAGCUACAGCUGAGCAUCAUAUUGGUCACACCAGUCCUAGUUAGAUAAAUGCUAGAGCUCCAGUGCAUAUUGUUUUGAGGCAUAAAACAUGGAUCUUUUAACACAAAGCAAGCAAACAUCUUUCUUGCUUU